GAAGCAAAUAUGAAGAGGAUGUUUUUAUCAAUAACCACACCACAGUUUGGGGUUCAUGGUGGAAGGAUCACCAUUGGGGUUACAAAUGCUGCAAACAGACAAUCAGAAACAGCUACUGUACAGGUGCUGCUGGAAUUGAAGCAGCUGAGGCUUCUACUGAUCUUAUGAAGGCCAAUAUUGCUCGCAAGGAGUCUGCUGAAGAUACACAUGCGCCGGUUGAGGAGAAGAGGCUCACUACUUGGGGAACUGAAGUUCCUGACGAUUUGGUUCUGGACCAGCAAAAGCUGGCUGAAGCUCUUAAAAAGGAGGAUGAAAAGAGGAGAGAAGAGAGGGAUGAAAGGAAAAGGAAAUACAACGUGAAAUACAAUGACGAGGUUACACCGGAAGAAAUGGAGGCUUACAGAAUGAAAAAGGUCCUCCAUGACGAUCCCAUGAGGGACUUCUUGCACUGAGUUAUAUAUACAGAAGGGGGGAGUCCUUGCACCUCUUUAGGUAGCACUUGGCAUGUAGGUGAAUUGUUAGUAAAAUACACUCCCAAACACACCAUCCAUUAUUAGGGGCUUACACGUGAGGAACUCUUUGCAUGAUUGCCACUCCUGCGCGUAAUAUGUAUAUAUUGUUGCUUCAAACCCAUUUUUUUAUUAUUGCAAUAUAAUUGUGGUCAAGCGUUGUAUCUGUCCUGUUUUAUCAGUUGUACAUACAUAUGCACACUGGGUUUUG
This 720-nucleotide unclassified non-coding RNA is filed under the name Hevea brasiliensis (rubber tree). The record is from RNAcentral. Lineage: Eukaryota; Viridiplantae; Streptophyta; Magnoliopsida; Malpighiales; Euphorbiaceae.